CGCGGCCUAUCAGCUUGUUGGCGGGGUAACGGCCCACCAAGGCAUCGACGGGUAGCUGGUCUGAGAGGACGAUCAGCCACACUGGGACUGAGACACGGCCCAGACUCCUACGGGAGGCAGCAGUGGGGAAUAUUGCGCAAUGGGCGAAAGCCUGACGCAGCAACGCCGCGUGGGGGAUGAAGGCCUUCGGGUUGUAAACCCCUUUCAGCAGGGACGAAAAUGACGGUACCUGCAGAAGAAGCCCCGGCCAACUACGUGCCAGCAGCCGCGAUAACACGUAGGGGGCGAGCGUUGUCCGGAUUUAUUGGGCGUAAAGAGCUCGUAGGCAGUUGCGUAAGUCGGAUGUGAAAACUCAGGGCUCAACCCGGAGACGCCAUCCGAUACUGCGCUGACUAGAGUCCGGUAGGGGAGCAUGGAAUUCCUGGUGUAGCGGUGAAAUGCGCAGAUAUCAGGAGGAACACCAGUAGCGAAGGCGGUGCUCUGGGCCGGUACUGACGCUGAGGAGCGAAAGCGUGGGUAGCGAACAGGAUUAGAUACCCUGGUAGUCCACGCCGUAAACGUUGGGCACUAGGUGUGGGGCCUACUUAACGGGUUCCGUGCCGUAGCUAACGCAUUAAGUGCCCCGCCUGGGGAGUACGG
This 639-nucleotide ribosomal RNA is filed under the name uncultured bacterium. RNAcentral describes it as "bacterial SSU rRNA". It matches the Rfam family "Bacterial small subunit ribosomal RNA", at positions 232 to 885 of the family's 1533-position model. The record is from RNAcentral.